UUAAGCGACUAAGCGUACACGGUGGAUGCCCUGGCAGUCAGAGGCGAUGAAGGACGUGCUAAUCUGCGAAAAGCGCCGGCGAGGUGAUAUGAACCUUUGACCCGGCGAUGUCCGAAUGGGGAAACCCAGUGUGUUCCGACACACUAUCGUUAACUGAAUACAUAGGUUAACGAGGCGAACCGGGGGAACUGAAACAUCUAAGUACCCCGAGGAAAAGAAAUCAACCGAGAUUCCCCCAGUAGCGGCGAGCGAACGGGGAGCAGCCCAGAGUCUGAAUCAGCUUGUGUGUUAGUGGAAGCGUCUGGAAAGUCGCACGGUACAGGGUGACAGUCCCGUACACGAAAGCACACAGGUUGUGAACUCGAAGAGUAGGGCGGGACACGUGGUAUCCUGUCUGAAUAUGGGGGGACCAUCCUCCAAGGCUAAAUACUCCUGACUGACCGAUAGUGAACCAGUACCGUGAGGGAAAGGCGAAAAGAACCCCGGCGAGGGGAGUGAAAAAGAACCUGAAACCGUGUACGUACAAGCAGUGGGAGCCUCUUUUAUGGGGUGACUGCGUACCUUUUGUAUAAUGGGUCAGCGACUUAUAUUCUGUAGCAAGGUUAACCGUAUAGGGGAGCCGAAGGGAAACCGAGUCUUAACUGGGCGUUAAGUUGCAGGGUAUAGACCCGAAACCCGGUGAUCUAGCCAUGGGCAGGUUGAAGGUUGGGUAACACUAACUGGAGGACCGAACCGACUAAUGUUGAAAAAUUAGCGGAUGACUUGUGGCUGGGGGUGAAAGGCCAAUCAAACCGGGAGAUAGCUGGUUCUCCCCGAAAGCUAUUUAGGUAGCGCCUCGUGAACUCAUCUUCGGGGGUAGAGCACUGUUUCGGCUAGGGGGCCAUCCCGGCUUACCAACCCGAUGCAAACUACGAAUACCGAAGAAUGUUAUCACGGGAGACACACGGCGGGUGCUAACGUCCGUCGUGAAGAGGGAAACAACCCAGACCGCCAGCUAAGGUCCCAAAGUCAUGGUUAAGUGGGAAACGAUGUGGGAAGGCACAGACAGCCAGGAUGUUGGCUUAGAAGCAGCCAUCAUUUAAAGAAAGCGUAAUAGCUCACUGGUCGAGUCGGCCUGCGCGGAAGAUGUAACGGGGCUAAACCAUGCACCGAAGCUGCGGCAGCGACGCUUAUGCGUUGUUGGGUAGGGGAGCGUUCUGUAAGCCGUUGAAGGUGUCCUGUGAGGGGUGCUGGAGGUAUCAGAAGUGCGAAUGCUGACAUAAGUAACGAUAAAGCGGGUGAAAAGCCCGCUCGCCGGAAGACCAAGGGUUCCUGUCCAACGUUAAUCGGGGCAGGGUGAGUCGACCCCUAAGGCGAGGCCGAAAGGCGUAGUCGAUGGGAAACAGGUUAAUAUUCCUGUACUUGGUGUUACUGCGAAGGGGGGACGGAGAAGGCUAUGUUAGCCGGGCGACGGUUGUCCCGGUUUAAGCAUGUAGGCGGAGGUUCCAGGUAAAUCCGGUUCCUUGUUAACGCUGAGGUGUGAUGACGAGGCACUACGGUGCUGAAGUAACAAAUGCCCUGCUUCCAGGAAAAGCCUCUAAGCAUCAGGUAACAUCAAAUCGUACCCCAAACCGACACAGGUGGUCAGGUAGAGAAUACCAAGGCGCUUGAGAGAACUCGGGUGAAGGAACUAGGCAAAAUGGUGCCGUAACUUCGGGAGAAGGCACGCUGAUAUGUAGGUGAAGCCCCUGCGGGUGGAGCUGAAAUCAGUCGAAGAUACCAGCUGGCUGCAACUGUUUAUUAAAAACACAGCACUGUGCAAACACGAAAGUGGACGUAUACGGUGUGACGCCUGCCCGGUGCCGGAAGGUUAAUUGAUGGGGUUAGCGGUAACGCGAAGCUCUUGAUCGAAGCCCCGGUAAACGGCGGCCGUAACUAUAACGGUCCUAAGGUAGCGAAAUUCCUUGUCGGGUAAGUUCCGACCUGCACGAAUGGCGUAAUGAUGGCCAGGCUGUCUCCACCCGAGACUCAGUGAAAUUGAACUCGCUGUGAAGAUGCAGUGUACCCGCGGCAAGACGGAAAGACCCCGUGAACCUUUACUAUAGCUUGACACUGAACACUGGUCCUUGAUGUGUAGGAUAGGUGGGAGGCUUUGAAGCGUGGACGCCAGUCUGCGUGGAGCCAACCUUGAAAUACCACCCUUUAAUGGCUGGUGUUCUAACGUAGACCCGUAAUCCGGGUUGCGGACAGUGUCUGGUGGGUAGUUUGACUGGGGCGGUCUCCUCCCAAAGAGUAACGGAGGAGCACGAAGGUUAGCUAAUCCUGGUCGGACAUCAGGAGGUUAGUGCAAUGGCAUAAGCUAGCUUGACUGCGAGAGUGACGGCUCGAGCAGGUGCGAAAGCAGGUCAUAGUGAUCCGGUGGUUCUGAAUGGAAGGGCCAUCGCUCAACGGAUAAAAGGUACUCCGGGGAUAACAGGCUGAUACCGCCCAAGAGUUCAUAUCGACGGCGGUGUUUGGCACCUCGAUGUCGGCUCAUCACAUCCUGGGGCUGAAGUAGGUCCCAAGGGUAUGGCUGUUCGCCAUUUAAAGUGGUACGCGAGCUGGGUUUAGAACGUCGUGAGACAGUUCGGUCCCUAUCUGCCGUGGGCGCUGGAGAAUUGAGGGGGGCUGCUCCUAGUACGAGAGGACCGGAGUGGACGCAUCACUGGUGUUCGGGUUGUCAUGCCAAUGGCACUGCCCGGUAGCUAAAUGCGGAAGAGAUAAGUGCUGAAAGCAUCUAAGCACGAAACUUGCCCCGAGAUGAGUUCUCCCUGAGACUUUAAGUCUCCUGAAGGAACGUUGAAGACUACGACGUUGAUAGGUCGGGUGUGUAAGCGCAGCGAUGCGUUGAGCUAACCGAUACUAAUGAACCGUGAGGCUUAACCU
This 2904-nucleotide ribosomal RNA is filed under the name Enterobacter ludwigii. RNAcentral describes it as "23S ribosomal RNA". It matches the Rfam family "Bacterial large subunit ribosomal RNA". The record is from RNAcentral. Lineage: Bacteria; Pseudomonadati; Pseudomonadota; Gammaproteobacteria; Enterobacterales; Enterobacteriaceae.